GGACGAACGCUGGCGGCGUGCCUCAUACAUGCAAGUCGAGCGGUCUGGCGCAAGCCAGAUAGCGGCGGACGGGUGAGUAACACGUGGGUAACCUGCCCUAAAGACCGGGAUAACAUCCUGAAAGGGAUGCUAAUACCGGGUAUGGUCUUCCAGUCGCAUGGCAGGAAGAAGAGAGGAGCAAUCCGCUUUAGGAUGGGCCCGCGUCCCAUUAGCUAGUUGGUGAGGUAACAGCUCACCAAGGCGACGAUGGGUAGCCGACCUGAGAGGGUGACCGGCCACACUGGGACUGAGACACGGCCCAGACUCCUACGGGAGGCAGCAGUCGGGAAUAUUGGGCAAUGGGGGAAACCCUGACCCAGCAACGCCGCGUGAGUGACGAAGGCCUUCGGGUCGUAAAGCUCUGUCCUUGGGGACGAACGAUGACGGUACCCAAGAAGAAAGCCACGGCUAACUACG
RNAcentral lists this ribosomal RNA (456 nucleotides) under uncultured Peptococcaceae bacterium. RNAcentral's name for it is "bacterial SSU rRNA". It matches the Rfam family "Bacterial small subunit ribosomal RNA", at positions 27 to 505 of the family's 1533-position model. The record is from RNAcentral. Lineage: Bacteria; Bacillati; Bacillota; Clostridia; Eubacteriales; Peptococcaceae.